CCUACGGGAGGCAGCAGUGAGGAAUAUUGGUCAAUGGCCGGAAGGCUGAACCAGCCAAGCCGCGUGAAGGACGAAGGUGCCAAGCAUUGUAAACUUCUUUUGUCAAGGGACAACAUCAGGCACGAGAGCCUGACCGAGGGUACUUGAAGAAAAAGCAUCGGCUAACUCCGUGCCAGCAGCCGCGGUAAUACGGAGGAUGCGAGCGUUAUCCGGAUUUAGUGGGUUUAAAGGGUGCGUAGGCGGGCUGGGAAGUCAGCGGUAAAAGCCCGGGGCUCAACCCCGGCGAGCCGUUGAAACUGGCUGUCGUGAGUGGGCGAGAGGUAUGCGGAAUGCGCAGUGUAGCGGUGAAAUGCUUAGAUAUUGCGCAGAACUCCGAUUGCGAAGGCAGCAUACCGGCGGCGAUCUGACGCUGAAGCACGAAAGCGUGGGUAUCGAACAGGAUUAGAUACCCGGGUAGUC
RNAcentral lists this ribosomal RNA (459 nucleotides) under uncultured bacterium. RNAcentral's name for it is "partial 16S ribosomal RNA". It matches the Rfam family "Bacterial small subunit ribosomal RNA", at positions 338 to 795 of the family's 1533-position model. The record is from RNAcentral.